AGAGUUUGAUCCUGGCUCAGAACGAACGCUGGCGGCGCGCCUAAUACAUGCAAGUCGAACGAGAAUGUGUAGCAAUACACAUGUACAGUGGCGAACGGGUGAGGAAUACAUGGGUAACCUACCCUCGAGUGGGGAAUAACUAGCCGAAAGGUUAGCUAAUACCGCGUACGCUUCCCGGACUGCGGUCCGGGAAGGAAAGCGAUACCGUGGGUAUCGCGCUCUUGGAUGGGCUCAUGCCCUAUCAGCUUGUUGGUGAGGUAACGGCUCACCAAGGCUUCGACGGGUAGCUGAUCUGAGAGGAUGAUCAGCCACACUGGCACUGCGACACGGGCCAGACUCCUACGGGAGGUAGCAGUAAGGAAUAUUGCGCAAUGGGCGAAAGCCUGACGCAGCGACGCCGCGUGGGGGAUGAAGGGCUUCGGCUCGUUAACCCCUGUCAGUUGCGAACAAGAUUCAUUCAAUAACACUGGGUGGAUUGAUAGUAGUGACAGAGGAAGGGACGGCUAACUCUGUGCCAGCCGCCGCGGUAAUAC
RNAcentral lists this ribosomal RNA (533 nucleotides) under uncultured bacterium. RNAcentral describes it as "bacterial SSU rRNA". It matches the Rfam family "Bacterial small subunit ribosomal RNA", at positions 8 to 526 of the family's 1533-position model. The record is from RNAcentral.